GAUGAACGCUGGCGGCGUGCCUAAUACAUGCAAGUCGAGCGAACAGACGAGGAGUUUGCUCCUUUGACGUUAGCGGCGGACGGGUGAGUAACACGUGGGUAACCUACCUAUAAGACUGGGAUAACUUCGGGAAACCGGAGCUAAUACCGGAUAAUAUUUCGAACCGCAUGGUUCGAUAGUGAAAGAUGGCUCUGCUAUCACUUAUAGAUGGACCGUCGCCUUAUUAGCUAGUUGGUAAGGUAACGGCUUACCAAGGCAACGAUACGUAGCCGACCUGGGAGGGUGAUCGGCCACACUGGAACGGAGCACGGGCCCAGACUCCUCGGGGAGGCAGAGGUAGGGAAUCUUCGGAAAUGGGCGAAAGCCUGACGGAGCAACGCCGCGUGAGUGAUGAAGGUCUUCGGAUCGUAAAACUCUGUUAUUGGGGAAGAACAAACGUGUAAGUAACUGUGCACGUCUUGACGGUACCUAAUCAGAAAGCCACGGCUAACUACGUG
RNAcentral lists this ribosomal RNA (497 nucleotides) under uncultured bacterium. RNAcentral describes it as "partial 16S ribosomal RNA". It matches the Rfam family "Bacterial small subunit ribosomal RNA", at positions 28 to 507 of the family's 1533-position model. The record is from RNAcentral.